Molecule: ribosomal RNA, 826 nt
Filed under: uncultured Bacillota bacterium
Lineage: Bacteria; Bacillati; Bacillota
Description: bacterial SSU rRNA
Rfam family: Bacterial small subunit ribosomal RNA
Source: RNAcentral
GGACGAACGCUUGGCGGCGCGCCUAACACAUGCAAGUCGAACGAGAGAUGAGGAGCUUGCUCUUCAAAUCGAGUGGCGAACGGGUGAGUAACGCGUGAGGAACCUGCCUCAAAGAGGGGGACAACAGUUGGAAACGACUGCUAAUACCGCAUGAGCCCACGGCUCGGCAUCGAGCAGAGGGAAAAGGAGUGAUCCGCUUUGUGAUGGCCUCGCGUCCGAUUAGCUAGUUGGUGAGGUAACGGCCCACCAAGGCGACGAUCGGUAGCCGGACUGAGAGGUUGAACGGCCACAUUGGGACUGAGACACGGCCCAGACUCCUACGGGAGGCAGCAGUGGGGAAUAUUGCACAAUGGGGGAAACCCUGAUGCAGCGACGCCGCGUGGAGGAAGAAGGUCUUCGGAUUGUAAACUCCUGUUGUUGAGGAAGAUAAUGACGGUACUCAACAAGGAAGUGACGGCUAACUACGUGCCAGCAGCCGCGGUAAAACGUAGGUCACAAGCGUUGUCCGGAAUUACUGGGUGUAAAGGGAGCGCAGGCGGGAGAACAAGUUGGAAGUGAAAUCCAUGGGCUCAACCCAUGAACUGCUUUCAAAACUGUUUUUCUUGAGUAGUGCAGAGGUAGGCGGAGUUCCCGGUGUAGCGGUGGAAUGCGUAGAUAUCGGGAGGAACACCAGUGGCGAAGGCGGCCUACUGGGCACCAACUGACGCUGAGGCUCGAAAGUGUGGGUAGCAAACAGGAUUAGAUACCCUGGUAGUCCACACCGUAAACGAUGAUUACUAGGUGUUGGAGGAUUGACCCCUUCAGUGCCGCAAGUUAACACAAUAAG